GAUGAACGCUGGCGGCGUGCCUAAUACAUGCAAGUCGAGCGCAUGGAUUAAGAGCUUGCUCUUAUGAAGUUAGCGGCGGACGGGUGAGUAACACGUGGGUAACCUGCCCAUAAGACUGGGAUAACUCCGGGAAACCGGGGCUAAUACCGGAUAACAUGUUGAACCGCAUGGUUCGAAAUUGAAAGGCGGCUUCGGCUGUCACCUAUGGAUGGACCCGCGUCGCAUUAGCUAUUUGGGGAGGUAACGGCUCACCAAGGCAACGAUGCGUAGCCGACCUGAGAGGGUGAUCGGCCACACUGGGACUGAGACACGGCCCAGACUCCUACGGGAGGCAGCAGUAGGGAAUCUCCGCAAUGGACGAAAGUCUGACGGAGCAACGCCGCGUGAGUGAUGAAGGCUUUCGGGUCGUAAAACUCUGUUGUUAGGGAAGAACAAGUGCUAGUUGAAUAAGCUGGCACCUUGACGGUACCUAACCAGAAAGCCACGGCUAACUACGUGCCAGCCGCCGCAGUAA
This 514-nucleotide ribosomal RNA is filed under the name uncultured bacterium. Its description in RNAcentral is "partial 16S ribosomal RNA". It matches the Rfam family "Bacterial small subunit ribosomal RNA", at positions 28 to 523 of the family's 1533-position model. The record is from RNAcentral.